CCAUGUUGAAGAUUAUCUCUAUUCUAUAAAUAUGUAAAAUAAAAUAAAAUGAUGCUUCCCAAUUACUUAUGGGCUUACUCUACUGGAGCCCAAUACCCAAUCGAAAUUUAAACCACAACGUGGGCCAUAUCUGAAUGAGUAAUUUCUCAACACACGAUCGUCUCAAUACAUCAUAAGAAUAAUAAAAUUAGCCAUAACUCUUACCACAUGAAUGUUUCAAAUUAUACACAAUACUGAAAUCAAGAUUCAAAUCUAUUUAUAUUGCUGAAUGUUUCUAUGUACUGAAUUUCUCUACUCUUAAGACUAAGAUAACCAACAACACUUAAACAAUUGACUUCAUGACUCUUCAUGCAUCUGGUUUCAUCUUGAAUUCCAUGCUUAAACUCCAUCCUCAUAGGUUAAAAGUAUCAACAGUAAACAAGAUUUAUACCUCAUUCUCAUGAGGAUACUAACUGCAGCAAUCAAACAAUGUUAGAAUCUUCAAGUAUGAAAAUAUUCAUUUCAAAUAGCUAAUCAACAAAUAGACUUAAACAUUGAAUUCAAAAAAAAGGAGCGAGAAUCGAACAUUUAGCAAAGAAAGCAAUGGCCAGAUUAAAUGAAACAAGGCAAAAAGCAGACUUAAUCAGGCAUCUUUAUAAUUUCUACAUUAAAAAGGGAACUACAACUGAAUUUUUGACGUACCUAACAAAAGCAAAAGCCAAUAAUGACUAAAUAAGGAACAAUGACGAAAGAUAGGAGUUCCAAACUACUUGCUCGAGUGAGUAGUAGCAAAACAGCAGCAGAAAACCACUAAGAUCCUUUGAAGCCCAGUAAAAUGCAAGAGAAGACUUCAGACUUUAGCUACUACUCAAAGCUUAGAGUCUAAGAAUGGAAAAAUGAAGGAGUGUAUCAAUUUUCUCCCAGAAUGCCCAGAUUUUUCUUUUGCCCUUUUUAAUGAAUGUGCAUGGGUUUAUAUAAUGAGUGUACCCUUGUGAGAGAAAAAAAAUCAGAGGGAAUAUAGGGAUCCGUCAGCUGAAAAUCAGGAGAAAAAGUAUCUCUUUUUUCAACCAAU
This 1051-nucleotide long non-coding RNA is filed under the name Nicotiana tabacum (common tobacco). RNAcentral's name for it is "long non-coding RNA (NTAB_LNC005795)". The record is from RNAcentral. Lineage: Eukaryota; Viridiplantae; Streptophyta; Magnoliopsida; Solanales; Solanaceae.